GGCCCCGUAGCUCAGCUAGGAAGAGCGCUGGCCUUCGGAGCCAGUGGUCCCGGGUUCAAGUCCCGGCGGGGCCG
RNAcentral lists this transfer RNA (74 nucleotides) under Ignicoccus pacificus DSM 13166. It matches the Rfam family "tRNA". From Rfam's summary of the family: Transfer RNA (tRNA) molecules are approximately 80 nucleotides in length. Their secondary structure includes four short double-helical elements and three loops (D, anti-codon, and T loops). The record is from Rfam by way of RNAcentral. Lineage: Archaea; Thermoproteati; Thermoproteota; Thermoprotei; Desulfurococcales; Desulfurococcaceae.